CCUACGGGUGGCAGCAGUGAGGAAUAUUGGUCAAUGGACGAGAGUCUGAACCAGCCAAGUAGCGUGAAGGAUGACUGCCCUAUGGGUUGUAAACUUCUUUUAUAUGGGAAUAAAAUGUUCCACGUGUGGGUUUUUGUAUGUACCUUAUGAAUAAGGAUCGGCUAACUCCGUGCCAGCAGCCGCGGUAAUACGGAGGAUCCGAGCGUUAUCCGGAUUUAUUGGGUUUAAAGGGGGCGUAGGUGGAUUGUUAAGUCAGGUGUGAAAGUUUGGGGCUCAACCGUAAAAUUGCAGUUGAAACUGGCAGUCUUGAGUAGAGUAGAGGUGGGCGGAAUGCGUGGUGUAGCGGUGAAAUGCAUAGAUAUCACGAAGAACUCCGAUUGCGAAGGCAGUACACUGGAGUGCAACUGACACUGAGGCACGAAAGUGUGGGUAUCAAACAGGAUUAGAUACCCUGGUAGUC
This 460-nucleotide ribosomal RNA is filed under the name uncultured bacterium. RNAcentral's name for it is "partial 16S ribosomal RNA". It matches the Rfam family "Bacterial small subunit ribosomal RNA", at positions 338 to 795 of the family's 1533-position model. The record is from RNAcentral.